AUGCUGCGCUUCCAGUCCUUGGCUGUCUCCCUGCCGCUGACAAACUGGAACUCGUUGGGGGUGAGCCACUCUCCCCGGUACCGGAUAGAGGGUCCUUUGCUCCCCUGGCACAACUUAUUGAUGUAGAGCAGCGCCUUGUUCUCCCCGCACUCCACCUCGAUGCAAGGCUCUCCGUUGUCAAAGAAGGGCUGGAAAUCCGGGAUAGAGGAAAACCUCUCCAGCAUCAGCCCUACGGUUCCAUUCCUAAUGGCAACUUCACCUCCAAGAGUAGAGAACGCUUGGCUGCAGCCUCCUCCAGAGAUGAGUCUCCGUGUGUACUCCAGGAGGGGUCAGAGCAGAACAACAACAGGCUUCACGCUCCAAAACAAAUCCUUCUGCGGGACUUCCAGGCUUCUCAGAUCUCUGGUUUGGAUGCACACUCAGAUCUAACAGCACCCUACAUUACUCUGCACUCUGCCCCUAUCAAACCGCUGUAAUGAGACCUUGCAUAACCCAGAGAGCUUGUAUUUACCAUCUGCUUUAAAGGAAAAGGUGACUUGCCAUGGAGUUUUCCCACUGCAUGUCAGUUCAGUUGCUUUUUACCUCUGAAGAAACUGGGCUCAAAUCUGGACCUAGUCAUAAGUGAAGUGAAUGUGCUGAGUCUUCAGUCUAGAAGGGCAGCAACUACUGGGCUGUGUUUCAUUCCUGGAAAAAACAGACACUUGAUCCCAGCCAUGACAUAGGUGCACCGGCCAAGCUGUGCAAAGGUUCAGCACUCAAGAGUGAGACCUCACCACGGUGGCUCAACAUGAAGUGCGUGACCUGGACCAGGCAGGGUUUUCCACACACAACGUGAGGUGUUUGGGCAGAAAACGGUGAGGUCUGGGGGGAUCCAAGAGGCACAGAUUCAAGCCUGUCAGUCUCUUACAAGCACUAAAAGUUACUAACAAGCCCUCCCUACCUCUCCUUGCUGCCAUGUAGACCAGGAGCCCUCUCUGGAUGUCCGAGUUCGACGGCAGGAGUCUGAAGUUGUUCAGCUCCAGCCUCUUAACAGUAGAGCUUUCAGGAUUAGUGUAAAGAGAUUCACCACUGGAGAGCAGAUCAGGAAGAUCUGAGCAAAUCCACACACACGUGGUCAGAGAGAGACCCAGGUGCGCUUUGCAAAUUCCACACUGAGGGACCAGAAUACGGUUUCAAGUCUGGGAACACAAAUCGCCAUGUCUUUUCGCUGUGUGUUUCCACAGCACCUAGCAGAGUGAAAGCGUGAUUCUUAAUUUGCUCACAGAGGCAUUAGCACAGUAAACAUAAUAAAUAACGAUCAUUUUCCAACAUUUAGUUCCCCACCUCUGGAAUAUGUCAUGUUAGAUCGAAGCAAAAUCUGGAUCUUGCAUUUCUCUCAGCUCAAACGUGCCAACAACUGCAAAGAGCGAACUGUGCUGUAAAGCACUUUACAAGAAGAGAUGGUGCUUCAAGCACAGGUCUGAAAGUGAAGAGAUAAGGACUUCCUUCCUUAUUCUAUCACCAGUUCCAUGGACAGAUUAUUCUGGAUAUGCCUCCAUUAUUCUACCCAGAAAAGGAGGGGAAACUUCCUCAUUUGUUAUUUAGGUGUGUGACAGCAAACCUCUGAUUUUCUGACGGAGAUCAAAGGUCCUUUGUGCUAAGUGUUCUAAAAACUCAUUGCAGAUGCAGGGCCUGCCCCUUUACAGGAAAGACAGGUUGAGGAUGGGAGGAGAGAGACAGGCAGGUACGUGUAAAACGACCAGCUCGAGUUCACAAACCCAUCAGAGCUUGUGUCUGUGCAGGAUGCCAGCACAGACGCCAUACGUGCCGUCUCUGACACUGUUACGCCUCCGUCUAAGCUAAAGCAACGGAUGCAACGCUCUGCCAUGUAGCACUGGUUUUGCUGGCCUUGUUGUAGCAAGCCUGAGUUUCUCACAUCCAAAACUAUGCAAAGUUCCGUCCUGUACACUAAAAAAGCCUAGAUAAUAAAAUACAUCUUUCAACAA
Molecule: long non-coding RNA, 1985 nt
Organism: Columba livia (rock pigeon)
Lineage: Eukaryota; Metazoa; Chordata; Aves; Columbiformes; Columbidae
Exons: 2
Source: RefSeq, a predicted model, not a curated record